RNAcentral lists this transfer RNA (87 nucleotides) under Candidatus Pacebacteria bacterium CG1_02_43_31. RNAcentral describes it as "tRNA-Leu". It matches the Rfam family "tRNA". Rfam says of the family: Transfer RNA (tRNA) molecules are approximately 80 nucleotides in length. RNAcentral also lists the same sequence under 3 other names. Lineage: Bacteria; Bacillati; Minisyncoccota. The record is from RNAcentral.
GCCGAGAUGGCGGAAUUGGUAGACGCGUGGGUCUCAAAAACCCAUGAAGGCAACUUCGUGAGGGUUCGAUUCCCUCUCCCGGCACAA